Molecule: ribosomal RNA, 430 nt
Filed under: uncultured Anaerolineaceae bacterium
Lineage: Bacteria; Bacillati; Chloroflexota; Anaerolineae; Anaerolineales; Anaerolineaceae
Description: bacterial SSU rRNA
Rfam family: Bacterial small subunit ribosomal RNA
Source: RNAcentral
AGCGUGUGGUUUAAUUCGUUGCUACACGAAGUAACCUUACCUGGGUUUGACAUAUAGGUUGUAGGGAACUGAAAGGGACCGACCUUCGGGAGCCUAUACAGGUGUUGCAUGGCUGUCGUCAGCUCGUGUCGUGAGAUGUUCGGUUAAGUCCGCUAACGAGCGCAACCCUCGUCGUAUGUUAUAUGUGUCAUACGAGACUGCCGGUAAAAGCCGGAGGAAGGUGAGGAUGAUGUCAAGUCAGCAUGACCUUUAUAUCCAGGGCUACACACACGCUACAAUGGUCUGUACAAUGGGUAGCCAAGCCGCGAGGCGGAGCCAAUCCUGAAAGCAGGCCUCAGUUCAGAUUGCAGUCUGCAACUCGACUGCAUGAAGCCGGAGUUGCUAGUAACCGCAGGUCAGCAAUACUGCGGUGAAUACGUUCCCGGGUCUU